UUUCUCCUGGGCCAUUAGCUCGGGUGGUUAGAGCGCACCCCUGAUAAGGGUGAGGUCCCUGGUUCAAGUCCAGGAUGGCCCAUUCGUUGUUGGGGGUAUAGCUCAGUUGGUAGAGCGCCUGCUUUGCAAGCAGGAUGUCAGCGGUUCGAGUCCGCUUACCUCCACUGAAAACUAUCCUGAUAAUUAAAUUCUGGAGAAAAAUUUGUAGAUGUGACUUAGAAUUGUCUAUUUGAAAAGAACCUAGCUUCUUAUCAUCUUUUUAUUAGUUGAUAAUAUGCUGGGCUCACAUGGAUUAAUUCCAUGAGAUUUCAGUAGAACCUUGAAAACUGCAUAGAUUAGAAAGAAUAAAGCAUCUCAUGGAUGCAUAAUUCUGUUUUUAUGAUUUAGCCUUGAAGCUAAAUUAUUUAAUUUCAGAAUUCAUGUUUAAUUCUUGAGUAAAAGCCGAGCACAAUUGAUUUUGUGAUUGUAUUUAAGGUCAAGCUACAAAGGGCUCAUGGCGGAUACCUUGGCACACAGAGGCGAUGAA
This 526-nucleotide transfer RNA is filed under the name uncultured cyanobacterium. Its description in RNAcentral is "partial contains 16S-23S ribosomal RNA intergenic spacer and 23S ribosomal RNA". The stretch from base 92 to 164 matches the Rfam family "tRNA". Lineage: Bacteria; Bacillati; Cyanobacteriota. The record is from RNAcentral.